RNAcentral lists this long non-coding RNA (637 nucleotides) under Salmo salar (Atlantic salmon). RNAcentral describes it as "lncRNA (ENSSSAG00000112209.1)". The record is from RNAcentral. Lineage: Eukaryota; Metazoa; Chordata; Actinopteri; Salmoniformes; Salmonidae.
CAUAAAUCUGAGAGACGUGAGUUUGUCAUCAUUUUUUAUCUAGACAUAGGAUAGGUUGUGUGAAAAUAUUACUGAUGUUUAACGUUAAAAAUGGACCAAAAGAUUAAUGCUAAACAACAUUUGACAUGUUUGAACGAACAUAAAUAGAUUAUUUACUAGGUUUUUUUAGCUUUUCGGCGUGAUUUUACCAGCCCCACACCACGUUUUGUGGGAGCAUAAUGAACGCUAAGUACUUGGUGUUAUUUGGACAUAAAUUAUGAACUUUGUCAAAAGAAACCACAUUUGUUCCGGACCUGGAAUGCCUUCCGGACCUGGGAUCCUGCCUUCUGAUGGAGAUAAUCAAAGGCGGCGAAUCGCAUCUCUGCAUGUCUGUCAGACAUAUCAGUGUGGAUGACGGAUCACCAGCUCAAGCUGAACCUCGGCAAGACGGAGCUGCUCUUCCUCCCGGGGAAGGACUGCCCGUUCCAUGAUCUCGCCAUCACGGUUGACAACUCCCUUGUGUCCUCCUCCCAGAGUGCUAAGAACCUUGGCGUGAUCCUGGACAACACCCUGUCGUUCUCCACUAACAUCAAGGCGGUGACCCGAUCCUGUAGGUUCAUGCUCUACAACAUUCGCAGAGUACGACCCUGCCUCACAC